This 387-nucleotide unclassified non-coding RNA is filed under the name Hevea brasiliensis (rubber tree). Lineage: Eukaryota; Viridiplantae; Streptophyta; Magnoliopsida; Malpighiales; Euphorbiaceae. The record is from RNAcentral.
CUGAAACAUGGUGGACUUGCAAUUAUGAGUUUCUCGAACCGCUGCUUUUGGACAAAGGCUAUCUCGAUAUGGACAUCAACUGGAGAUGCGGAUCAUGUUAUGAUAGUUGGGUCUUAUUUCCAUUAUGCUGGUGGAUUUGAACCUCCACAGGCUGUGGAUAUAUCUCCUAAUACUGGACGCUCAGACCCCAUGUAUAUAGUCUAUUCCAGGAAGAUAGCGACAGCCUGAAAUUCAACGCUCGUUCAGCUAGAUAACAUUUUCCUUCCUGAAAUGUGAUCACCAUCCCGUUUUAACUUAUCAUAACUUGAUGGAGUUGUGUAUAUUUUAACUUGACGACAAGUUUUGAGGAAAGAAACAAGUCCAGCAUCACACAUCACCUAAUUCAAG